Molecule: ribosomal RNA, 1003 nt
Filed under: Staphylococcus aureus
Lineage: Bacteria; Bacillati; Bacillota; Bacilli; Caryophanales; Staphylococcaceae
Description: partial 23S ribosomal RNA
Rfam family: Bacterial large subunit ribosomal RNA
Source: RNAcentral
AAUCUGGGAGGACCAUCUCCUAAGGCUAAAUACUCUCUAGUGACCGAUAGUGAACCAGUACCGUGAGGGAAAGGUGAAAAGCACCCCGGAAGGGGAGUGAAAUAGAACCUGAAACCGUGUGCUUACAAGUAGUCAGAGCCCGUUAAUGGGUGAUGGCGUGCCUUUUGUAGAAUGAACCGGCGAGUUACGAUUUGAUGCAAGGUUAAGCAGUAAAUGUGGAGCCGUAGCGAAAGCGAGUCUGAAUAGGGCGUUUAGUAUUUGGUCGUAGACCCGAAACCAGGUGAUCUACCCUUGGUCAGGUUGAAGUUCAGGUAACACUGAAUGGAGGACCGAACCGACUUACGUUGAAAAGUGAGCGGAUGAACUGAGGGUAGCGGAGAAAUUCCAAUCGAACCUGGAGAUAGCUGGUUCUCUCCGAAAUAGCUUUAGGGCUAGCCUCAAGUGAUGAUUAUUGGAGGUAGAGCACUGUUUGGACGAGGGGCCCCUCUCGGGUUACCGAAUUCAGACAAACUCCGAAUGCCAAUUAAUUUAACUUGGGAGUCAGAACAUGGGUGAUAAGGUCCGUGUUCGAAAGGGAAACAGCCCAGACCACCAGCUAAGGUCCCAAAAUAUAUGUUAAGUGGAAAAGGAUGUGGCGUUGCCCAGACAACUAGGAUGUUGGCUUAGAAGCAGCCAUCAUUUAAAGAGUGCGUAAUAGCUCACUAGUCGAGUGACACUGCGCCGAAAAUGUACCGGGGCUAAACAUAUUACCGAAGCUGUGGAUUGUCCUUUGGACAAUGGUAGGAGAGCGUUCUAAGGGCGUUGAAGCAUGAUCGUAAGGACAUGUGGAGCGCUUAGAAGUGAGAAUGCCGGUGUGAGUAGCGAAAGACGGGUGAGAAUCCCGUCCACCGAUUGACUAAGGUUUCCAGAGGAAGGCUCGUCCGCUCUGGGUUAGUCGGGUCCUAAGCUGAGGCCGACAGGCGUAGGCGAUGGAUAACAGGUUGAUAUUCCUGUACCACCUAUA